RNAcentral lists this ribosomal RNA (253 nucleotides) under uncultured bacterium. Its description in RNAcentral is "partial 16S ribosomal RNA". It matches the Rfam family "Bacterial small subunit ribosomal RNA", at positions 524 to 776 of the family's 1533-position model. The record is from RNAcentral.
UACGUAGGGGGCUAGCGUUGCUCGGAAUCACUGGGCGUAAAGCGCACGUAGGCGGAUUGUUAAGUCAGGGGUGAAAUCCUGGAGCUCAACUCCAGAACUGCCUUUGAUACUGGCGAUCUCGAGUCCGGGAGAGGUGAGUGGAACUGCGAGUGUAGAGGUGAAAUUCGUAGAUAUUCGCAAGAACACCAGUGGCGAAGGCGGCUCACUGGCCCGGUACUGACGCUGAGGUGCGAAAGCGUGGGGGGCAAACAGG